UACGUAGGGGGCGAGCGUUGUCCGAAGUUACUGGGCGUAAAGCGCGCGUAGGCGGCUAACUAAGUCUGAGGUGAAAGGUUCAGCGCUCAACGUGAACAGUGCCUUGGAGACUGGUUGGCUUGAGUGUGGCAGAGGAGCAUGGAAUUCCUGGUGUAGCGGUGAAAUGCGUAGAUAUCAGGAGGAACACCUGUGGUGUAGACAGCUUACUGGACCAUUACUGACACUGAGACACGAAAGCGUGGGUAGCAAACAGG
Molecule: ribosomal RNA, 254 nt
Filed under: uncultured prokaryote
Description: partial 16S ribosomal RNA
Rfam family: Bacterial small subunit ribosomal RNA
Source: RNAcentral